Molecule: ribosomal RNA, 468 nt
Filed under: uncultured bacterium
Lineage: Bacteria
Description: partial 16S ribosomal RNA
Rfam family: Bacterial small subunit ribosomal RNA
Source: RNAcentral
GACGAACGCUGGCGGUGUGCUUAACACAUGCAAGUCGAACGGGAAGGCCCUGCUUUUGUGGGGUGCUCGAGUGGCGAACGGGUGAGUAACACGUGAGUAACCUGCCCUUGACUUUGGGAUAACUUCAGGAAACUGGGGCUAAUACCGGAUAGGAGCUCCUGCUGCAUGGUGGGGGUUGGAAAGUUUCGGCGGUUGGGGAUGGACUCGCGGCUUAUCAGCUUGUUGGUGGGGUAGUGGCUUACCAAGGCUUUGACGGGUAGCCGGCCUGAGAGGGUGACCGGCCACAUUGGGACUGAGAUACGGCCCAGACUCCUACGGGAGGCAGCAGUGGGGAAUAUUGCACAAUGGGCGGAAGCCUGAUGCAGCAACGCCGCGUGCGGGAUGACGGCCUUCGGGUUGUAAACCGCUUUCGCCUGUGACGAAGCGUGAGUGACGGUAAUGGGUAAAGAAGCACCGGCUAACUACGUG